UACGGGGGGUGCAAGUGUUAAUCGGAAUCACUGGCCGUAAAGGGUGCGUAAGCGGUACGUUAGGGCUGUCGUGAAAUCCCCGGAGCUCAGACCUGUUUAAUGGCGGAACAAACCGGUGCACUAGACUAUGGGAGAUGUUGGUGGAAUUCCAAGUGUGGCGGAGAAAUGCGUAGAGAUCUGGAGGAACAUAGAUGGCGAAGGUGGCUUCCUGGCCUAUACUGACGCUGACGCACGAAAUCGUGGGUAGCAAACACGAUUAUAUACCAUGGUAGUCCACGCCCUAGACGAUGAAUACUAGAUGUUUGGUACCUAGCGUACUGAGUGGCGGAGCUAACGCGAUAAGUAUUCCGCCUGGGAAGUACGGCCGCAAGGUUAAAACUCAAAGGAAUUGACGGGGGACCGCACAAGCGGUGGAGCAUGUGGUUUAAUUCGAUGCAACGCGAAGAACCUUACCUGGGCUUGACAUGUCCGGAAUUCUGCAGAGAUGCGGGAGUGCCCUUCGGGGAAUCGGAACACAGGUGCUGGAUGGAUGUCGUCAGCUCGUGUCCUGAGAGGUUGGGUUAAGUCCCGCAACGAGCGCAACCCUUGUCGUUAGUUGCCAGCGGUUAGGCCGGACACUCUAGGGAGACUUCCGGUGACAAACCGGAGGAAGGUGGGGAUGACGUCAAGUCGUCAUGGCCUUUAUGUCCAGGACUACACACGUCCCACAACGGCGCGUACAGAGGGAAGCCAAGUCGCGAGGUGGAGCAGACUCCAGAAAGCGCGUAGUAGUUCGGAUUGCAGUGUGCAACUGGAGUGCAGGAAGUCGGAAUCGGUAGUAAUCGCGGAUCAGCAUGCCGCGGGGAAUACGUUCCCGGGCCU
Molecule: ribosomal RNA, 861 nt
Filed under: uncultured bacterium
Lineage: Bacteria
Description: bacterial SSU rRNA
Rfam family: Bacterial small subunit ribosomal RNA
Source: RNAcentral